CGGAGCUGCGACUCGCCUGAAAGGGAGCGAAGCUGGCCGAGCGAACUAGACUUUUUUUCAGGGACGCUUGGCGGCCGAGAGCGAGUGUUGCGAGACAACAAAAAGCUCGACCUCAAAUCAGGUAGGAAUACCCGCUGAACUUAAGCAUAUCAAUAAGCGGAGGAAAAGAAACCAACAGGAUUGCCUCAGUAGCGGCGAGUGAAGCGGCAAGAGCUCAGAUUUGAAAUCGUGCUUUGCGGCACGAGUUGUAGAUUGCAGGUUGGAGUCUGUGUGGAAGGCGGUGUCCAAGUCCCUUGGAACAGGGCGCCCAGGAGGGUGAGAGCCCCGUGGGAUGCCGGCGGAAGCAGUGAGGCCCUUCUGACGAGUCGAGUUGUUUGGGAAUGCAGCUCCAAGCGGGUGGUAAAUUCCAUCUAAGGCUAAAUACUGGCGAGAGACCGAUAGCGAACAAGUACUGUGAAGGAAAGAUGAAAAGCACUUUGAAAAGAGAGUGAAACAGCACGUGAAAUUGUUGAAAGGGAAGGGUAUUGCGCCCGACAUGGGGAUUGCGCACCGCUGCCUCUCGUGGGCGGCGCUCUGGGCUUUCCCUGGGCCAGCAUCGGUUCUUGCUGCAGGAGAAGGGGUUCUGGAACGUGGCUCUUCGGAGUGUUAUAGCCAGGGCCAGAUGCUGCGUGCGGGGACCGAGGACUGCGGCCGUGUAGGUCACGGAUGCUGGCAGAACGGCGCAACACCGCCCGUCUUGAAACAUGGACCAAGGAGUCUAACGUCUAUGCGAGUGUUUGGGUGUGAAACCCGUACGCGUAAUGAAAGUGAACGUAGGUCGGACCCCCUGCCCUCGGGGAGGGG
This 843-nucleotide ribosomal RNA is filed under the name Pichia kudriavzevii. Its description in RNAcentral is "LSU rRNA". The stretch from base 108 to 843 matches the Rfam family "Eukaryotic large subunit ribosomal RNA", at positions 1 to 755 of the family's 3401-position model. Lineage: Eukaryota; Fungi; Ascomycota; Pichiomycetes; Pichiales; Pichiaceae. The record is from RNAcentral.